GUACCAGACUCCUACGGGAGGCAGCAGUGGGGAAUAUUGGGCAAUGGGCGCAAGCCUGACCCAGCAACGCCGCGUGAAGGAAGAAGGCUUUCGGGUUGUAAACUUCUUUUAAGAGGGAAGAGCAGAAGACGGUACCUCUUGAAUAAGCCACGGCUAACUACGUGCCAGCAGCCGCGGUAAUACGUAGGUGGCAAGCGUUGUCCGGAUUUACUGGGUGUAAAGGGCGUGUAGCCGGGCUGACAAGUCAGAUGUGAAAUUCCGGGGCUCAACCCCGGACCUGCAUUUGAAACUGUUGGUCUUGAGUAUCGGAGAGGCAGGCGGAAUUCCUAGUGUAGCGGUGAAAUGCGUGGAUAUAAGGAAGAACACCAGUGGCGAAGGCGGAUGACUGGACGGCAACUGACGGUGAGGCGCGAAAGCGUGGGGAGCAAACAGGAUUAGAUACCCGAGUA
This 449-nucleotide ribosomal RNA is filed under the name uncultured bacterium. RNAcentral describes it as "partial 16S ribosomal RNA". It matches the Rfam family "Bacterial small subunit ribosomal RNA", at positions 328 to 792 of the family's 1533-position model. The record is from RNAcentral.